ACGUAGGGGCCAAGCGUUGUCCGGAAUUACUGGGCGUAAAGCGUGGGUAGGUGGUCGAUGAUGUGCCGCGUGAAAGCGCCGGAGUAAUGCCGGCGAGGUCGCGGUAGACACGUUGACUAGAGGCUCGCAGAGGAACGUGGAAUUCCCGGUGUAGUGGUGAAAUGCGUAGAUAUCGGGAGGAACACCAGUGGCGCAAGCGGCGUUCUGGGCGAGACCUGACACUGAGCCACGACGGCGUGGGGAGCAAACAGGAUUAGAUACCCUGGUAGUCCACGCAGUAAACGAUGCAUACCAGGUGUGGGAUGGCGUUCGCGUCGUUCCGUGCCGCAGCUUACGCGAUGAGUAUGCCGCCUGGGGACUACGAGCGCAAGCUUA
Molecule: ribosomal RNA, 375 nt
Filed under: uncultured bacterium
Lineage: Bacteria
Description: bacterial SSU rRNA
Rfam family: Bacterial small subunit ribosomal RNA
Source: RNAcentral